RNAcentral lists this ribosomal RNA (800 nucleotides) under uncultured Pelagibacteraceae bacterium. RNAcentral describes it as "bacterial SSU rRNA". It matches the Rfam family "Bacterial small subunit ribosomal RNA", at positions 35 to 883 of the family's 1533-position model. The record is from RNAcentral. Lineage: Bacteria; Pseudomonadati; Pseudomonadota; Alphaproteobacteria; Candidatus Pelagibacterales; Candidatus Pelagibacteraceae.
GCUGGCGGCACGCCUAACACAUGCAAGUCGAACGAAGUAGCAAUACUUAGUGGCAGACGGGUGAGGAACAUGUGGGUAUCUGCCCUUUGGCCUGGAAUAACACGAGGAAACUUGUGCUAAUACCGGAUAAGUCUUUACGGAGAAAGCUUUAUGCACCAUUGGAUGAGCCCGCACUUGAUUAGUUUGUUGGUGGGGUAAUGGCCUACCAAGACUUUGAUCAAUAGCUGAUUUGAGAGGAUGAUCAGCCACAUUGGGACUGAGACACGGCCCAAACUCCUACGGGAGGCAGCAGUGGGGAAUCUUGCACAAUGGAGGAAACUCUGAUGCAGCGAUGCCGCGUGAGUGAAGAAGGCCUUUGGGUUGUAAAGCUCUUUCGUCGGGGAAGAAAAUGACUGUACCCGAAUAAGAAGGUCCGGCUAACUUCGUGCCAGCAGCCGCGGUAAUACGAAGGGACCUAGCGUAGUUCGGAAUUACUGGGCUUAAAGAGUUCGUAGGUGGUUGAAAAAGUUGGUGGUGAAAUCCCAGAGCUUAACUCUGGAACUGCCAUCAAAACUUUUCAGCUAGAGUUUGAUAGAGGAAAGCAGAAUUUCUAGUGUAGAGGUGAAAUUCGUAGAUAUUAGAAAGAAUACCAAUUGCGAAGGCAGCUUUCUGGAUCAUUACUGACGCUGAGGAACGAAAGCAUGGGUAGCGAAGAGGAUUAGAUACCCUCGUAGUCCAUGCCGUAAACGAUGUGUGUUAGACGUUGGAAAUUUAUUUUCAGUGUCGCAGCGAAAGCGAUAAACACACCGCCUGGGGAGUAC